GGGUUGUGAGGUUAAGCGACUAAGCGUACACGGUGGAUGCCCUGGCAGUCAGAGGCGAUGAAGGGCGUGCUAAUCUGCGAUAAGCGCCGGUAAGGUGAUAUGAACCGUUAUAACCGGCGAUACCCGAAUGGGGAAACCCAGUGUGACUCGUCACACUAUCAUUAACUGAAUCCAUAGGUUAAUGAGGCGAACCGGGGGAACUGAAACAUCUAAGUACCCCGAGGAAAAGAAAUCAACCGAGAUUCCCCCAGUAGCGGCGAGCGAACGGGGAGGAGCCCAGAGCCUGAAUCAGCAUGUGUGUUAGUGGAAGCGUCUGGAAAGGCGCGCGAUACAGGGUGACAGCCCCGUACACAAAAGCGCAUGUGCUGUGAGCUCGAUGAGUAGGGCGGGACACGUGGUAUCCUGUCUGAAUAUGGGGGGACCAUCCUCCAAGGCUAAAUACUCCUGACUGACCGAUAGUGAACCAGUACCGUGAGGGAAAGGCGAAAAGAACCCCGGCGAGGGGAGUGAAAAAGAACCUGAAACCGUGUACGUACAAGCAGUGGGAGCACCCUUUGGGGUGUGACUGCGUACCUUUUGUAUAAUGGGUCAGCGACUUAUAUUCUGUAGCAAGGUUAACCGAAUAGGGGAGCCGGAGGGAAACCGAGUCUUAAUUGGGCGUUAAGUUGCAGGGUAUAGACCCGAAACCCGGUGAUCUAGCCAUGGGCAGGUUGAAGGUUGGGUAACACUAACUGGAGGACCGAACCGACUAAUGUUGAAAAAUUAGCGGAUGACCUGUGGCUGGGGGUGAAAGGCCAAUCAAACCGGGAGAUAGCUGGUUCUCCCCGAAAGCUAUUUAGGUAGCGCCUCGUGAAUUCAUCUCCGGGGGUAGAGCACUGUUUCGGCUAGGGGGCCAUCCCGGCUUACCAACCCGAUGCAAACUGCGAAUACCGGAGAAUGUUAUCACGGGAGACACACGGCGGGUGCUAACGUCCGUCGUGAAGAGGGAAACAACCCAGACCGCCAGCUAAGGUCCCAAAGUCAUGGUUAAGUGGGAAACGAUGUGGGAAGGCCCAGACAGCCAGGAUGUUGGCUUAGAAGCAGCCAUCAUUUAAAGAAAGCGUAAUAGCUCACUGGUCGAGUCGGCCUGCGCGGAAGAUGUAACGGGGCUAAACCAUGCACCGAAGCUGCGGCAGCGAACGUAUCACCCAAGACAACUUUACGGAGUUGACGAUUGACGGAGCGAAGCGACGUCAAAGCGUUCAUUAAAGUCGAGUUGGCUUAGGGAUACGUUCGUUGGGUAGGGGAGCGUUCUGUAAGCCUGUGAAGGUGUGUCGUGAGGCAUGCUGGAGGUAUCAGAAGUGCGAAUGCUGACAUAAGUAACGAUAAAGCGGGUGAAAAGCCCGCUCGCCGGAAGACCAAGGGUUCCUGUCCAACGUUAAUCGGGGCAGGGUGAGUCGACCCCUAAGGCGAGGCCGAAAGGCGUAGUCGAUGGGAAACGGGUUAAUAUUCCCGUACUUGGUGUUACUGCGAAGGGGGGACGGAGAAGGCUAUGUUGGCCGGGCGACGGUUGUCCCGGUUUAAGCGUGUAGGUGUGUGUUCCAGGUAAAUCCGGUUCACUUUAACACUGAGGCGUGACGACGAGGCACUACGGUGCUGAAGCAACAAAUGCCCUGCUUCCAGGAAAAGCCUCUAAGCAUCAGGUAACAUCAAAUCGUACCCCAAACCGACACAGGUGGUCAGGUAGAGAAUACCAAGGCGCUUGAGAGAACUCGGGUGAAGGAACUAGGCAAAAUGGUGCCGUAACUUCGGGAGAAGGCACGCUGACACGUAGGUGAAGUGAUUUACUCACGGAGCUGAAGUCAGUCGAAGAUACCAGCUGGCUGCAACUGUUUAUUAAAAACACAGCACUGUGCAAACACGAAAGUGGACGUAUACGGUGUGACGCCUGCCCGGUGCCGGAAGGUUAAUUGAUGGGGUCAGCGCAAGCGAAGCUCCUGAUCGAAGCCCCGGUAAACGGCGGCCGUAACUAUAACGGUCCUAAGGUAGCGAAAUUCCUUGUCGGGUAAGUUCCGACCUGCACGAAUGGCGUAAUGAUGGCCAGGCUGUCUCCACCCGAGACUCAGUGAAAUUGAACUCGCUGUGAAGAUGCAGUGUACCCGCGGCAAGACGGAAAGACCCCGUGAACCUUUACUAUAGCUUGACACUGAACAUUGAGCCUUGAUGUGUAGGAUAGGUGGGAGGCUUUGAAGCGUGGACGCCAGUCUGCGUGGAGCCGACCUUGAAAUACCACCCUUUAAUGUUUGAUGUUCUAACGUGGACCCGUAAUCCGGGUUGCGGACAGUGUCUGGUGGGUAGUUUGACUGGGGCGGUCUCCUCCUAAAGAGUAACGGAGGAGCACGAAGGUUGGCUAAUCCUGGUCGGACAUCAGGAGGUUAGUGCAAUGGCAUAAGCCAGCUUGACUGCGAGCGUGACGGCGCGAGCAGGUGCGAAAGCAGGUCAUAGUGAUCCGGUGGUUCUGAAUGGAAGGGCCAUCGCUCAACGGAUAAAAGGUACUCCGGGGAUAACAGGCUGAUACCGCCCAAGAGUUCAUAUCGACGGCGGUGUUUGGCACCUCGAUGUCGGCUCAUCACAUCCUGGGGCUGAAGUAGGUCCCAAGGGUAUGGCUGUUCGCCAUUUAAAGUGGUACGCGAGCUGGGUUUAGAACGUCGUGAGACAGUUCGGUCCCUAUCUGCCGUGGGCGCUGGAGAACUGAGGGGGGCUGCUCCUAGUACGAGAGGACCGGAGUGGACGCAUCACUGGUGUUCGGGUUGUCAUGCCAAUGGCACUGCCCGGUAGCUAAAUGCGGAAGAGAUAAGUGCUGAAAGCAUCUAAGCACGAAACUUGCCCCGAGAUGAGUUCUCCCUGAGACUUAGAGUCUCCUGAAGGAACGUUGAAGACGACGACGUUGAUAGGCCGGGUGUGUAAGCGCAGCGAUGCGUUGAGCUAACCGGUACUAAUGAACCGUGAGGCUUAACCUUACAACGCCGAAG
Molecule: ribosomal RNA, 3011 nt
Filed under: Salmonella enterica subsp. enterica serovar Reading
Lineage: Bacteria; Pseudomonadati; Pseudomonadota; Gammaproteobacteria; Enterobacterales; Enterobacteriaceae
Description: 23S ribosomal RNA
Rfam family: Bacterial large subunit ribosomal RNA
Source: RNAcentral